GACGAACGCUGGCGGCGUGCUUAACACAUGCAAGUCGAACGGAAAGGCCCUGCUUUUGUGGGGUGCUCGAGUGGCGAACGGGUGAGUAACACGUGAGUAACCUGCCCUUGACUUUGGGAUAACUUCAGGAAACUGGGGCUAAUACCGGAUAGGAGCUCCUGCUGCAUGGUGGGGGUUGGAAAGUUUCGGCUGUUGGGGAUGGACUCGCGGCUUAUCAGCUUGUUGGUGGGGGAGUGGCUUACCAAGGCUUUGACGGGUCGCCGGCCUGGGAGGGUGAACGGCCACAAUGGGACUGAGAGACGGACCAGAGUCCAACGGGAGGCAGUAGUGGGGAAUAUUGCACAAUGGGCGGGAGCCUGAUGCAGAAACGCUGGGUGCGGGAUGACGGCCUUUGGGUUGUAAACAGCUUUAGCCUGUGACGCAGCGUGAGUGACGGUAAUGGGUAAAGAAGCACCGGCUAACUACGUG
Molecule: ribosomal RNA, 468 nt
Filed under: uncultured bacterium
Lineage: Bacteria
Description: partial 16S ribosomal RNA
Rfam family: Bacterial small subunit ribosomal RNA
Source: RNAcentral